Cicer arietinum (chickpea) is the source of this 724-nucleotide non-coding RNA. Lineage: Eukaryota; Viridiplantae; Streptophyta; Magnoliopsida; Fabales; Fabaceae. The record is from RefSeq and is a predicted model, not a curated record.
AUUUCCAUGGCAUCUUCAUUCCCCCACACCUCUGUCCACUGACCACCGCCGCUGACCGCCGUCGCGCGCCGCUAUUGUCUCGUGGCCUAAACAGAAGUUCAAGAAGAAGAAAAACGCAAGCUCUAAACACUUUGCUUCCAUGGCAUCGAUCCAAUUUGGCUUCGCAGCGUCCAAUCCGUGUCGAAAAAUUCAGAAAUCCGUAUGUGGCUUUUCGGAUCCAAAUACCAAUUUCACAUCUGAAUCAACACCUAUUGAUUUGGUUUCGGUGAGCACAUAAAAUUUGGGGGAUUUCACUAUCUCCUUUACAGAACAAUUUUCUAGCUUCCUCUAUUUCUUCUUAAGACUGCACAAGGCCAUCCUAUAUGCUGAUCUAGCUGUGGUGUUGAUGCAAGAAGGAUUAUCCCAUAUCAUCCUUAUUAGUAAAAGGGUUCUUGGAAAGACCAGGUUAUACACAACUGCAGAUUGAUCAUGAGGACCAUGCUGCCGAGUUUCUGAAUUUAUACACAAUUGCAGAUUCUGCCCACAAAAGGCUCCAUCCAAAGAGUUGAUAACACAAGCAAUAAGACAUCAACACUGCUCAAAAGAAUUUGAUACUUAGAAUUCAAGAUUGAUUAUAGGAAUUUUGUAAAGUAGAGAUAGGAUAUAUUUGAUACUGAAUUCAACACCGCUUGUUCUAUUGUAAAAUAUUUUUAAAUAUAAUGAAUUGAGUAUCUUUGUUUCACUA